RNAcentral lists this non-coding RNA (472 nucleotides) under Pan troglodytes (chimpanzee). Lineage: Eukaryota; Metazoa; Chordata; Mammalia; Primates; Hominidae. The record is from RNAcentral.
GGAAAGGAGGGCCAAGUAGAGCCUCCACGACCCUCGGCUUCCUCCUCACCAGCUCCGCCUCCCUCCAAGUCCAGUAAGAAGUUGGGCCAAGCUGGAAGGGAUUGACCGGGUUGCUUGUCUGGAGAUGGAGCCACUACGGGCAGGGCCUGGGCGCCUGGAGUCGGGCAUGAAAGAAAAUAGCGCCUCAUCGCUCUUAUCUAAGCCCAGAGGUCGACUUCGCUUGAAAAGAUCGAGAAUGGAGGAGGGGAUCGGCACUCACUUGCAGACAUCAACAGUUUCCAGAAAAUUCGGUUCAAUUCCUUCACCACGGACCCACCAACCAAGGAGCUGGCAAAACCCGCUAACCAACCAGGAGAACACAGACCCGGUUUGUCUUUUGACAACCGAGUGGAACUGACGGGGCCGGCGCCUGCCCUGCGGGUCCCCUCCCUUGGCUGAGAAGAAAACCAAAUAAACCUUGAACAGCCUUGGC